Molecule: unclassified non-coding RNA, 225 nt
Filed under: plant metagenome
Description: partial contains small subunit ribosomal RNA, internal transcribed spacer 1, and 5.8S ribosomal RNA
Source: RNAcentral
UCUCCGUUGGCGAACCAGCGGAGGGAUCAUUACAGGACUCGCAAGACUCCUACAACCCUGUGAACUUAACUAUAAGCACGUUGCUUCGGCGGGUGUCUCGGAGGGGGUUCUCCCUCCCCGAGACGCUAAACCCGCCGGCAGCCUACUAUACUCUGUCUCUUUGCGUUGGCAUCUCGAGUACAAUCAAACAAGUUAAAACUUUCAACAACGGAUCUCUUGGUUCUG